CGGAGAGAACAAAGUUUUUUCUUUGAAGCAGUAAGAGAGGGAGAUGAAGGUUGACGAGAGUCUCUAUACUACAAGCACAGUAUCCGAAGUUGAAAGAGAUCUGCAAAUCGGAAAAAUUAGUGGCAGCAAAGCCGCUGAGGGCGGAGGAGCGACGGCAGUUGGCAAAUUUAGGGUUUUGAUGGAAUUGUUUUACGUUUGAGGGUGAGAGAGGAAAUUGUG
Molecule: unclassified non-coding RNA, 219 nt
Filed under: Hevea brasiliensis (rubber tree)
Lineage: Eukaryota; Viridiplantae; Streptophyta; Magnoliopsida; Malpighiales; Euphorbiaceae
Source: RNAcentral